Dromaius novaehollandiae (emu) is the source of this 2953-nucleotide long non-coding RNA. RefSeq lists it as uncharacterized. The transcript has 3 exons. Lineage: Eukaryota; Metazoa; Chordata; Aves; Casuariiformes; Dromaiidae. The record is from RefSeq and is a predicted model, not a curated record.
CUUUACCUAAAAUAUUGGGACCUGAAAUUUUGAACCUCCAACUAAUAAGGCAACAGGGUGACUUGUGGCUUUAUUGCAAAGAAAUUCAAAGCAUUUCUCUUCAGAGGCAGAAGGGCUUGGCUUUCAAUCUCAACUGAAGAGACAUACCUGACCUCAAACAGCAAAGCAACCCAUAAAAUAAGAACUGCGCAUCUUAAGUUCAUUGAGUGACAACACAACAGUCAUGGUGACAGAAAGGAUGCCUUUGUGGAAAGACUCUAGUCCCUGCUCAUUAAAAGACAUCGUAAUCUUGCACGUGGGUGUGGCAGGAUUGGAAUGCUAAUCUGUAUUUUCGUACCGUCAUAAAAUACCUAGAUUUUCUUCUUCAGAUUGUAUACAAACAGCACAACCAAACUCUUUGAGCAUCCAACAUUGGUAAGAUUAACUUAAUCAUACAGUCAGUAAUUCGUGCUUCAUUUCCUUUCUCUUACUUCUUCCUUGUCUAGUGUUUUCUCCUCAUUCUCUCUCUCAGUUCAUACAAACCAAUAUUUUAAUCUCUUUUUCUAAAAAUGAAAUACUUAUUAACAGCAGUCAUUUACUGUGCCCUUCCCCAGCUUUUCUUGCUCAGCCCACAGACAGCCCUGUCUCAAGUAGACUUCACUCAGUGCAUUUCUGCAGCUACAUAGGUUGACUGGCAUUAGAAGCAAUUGCAAAAAGCAAAGAAACUGUUAAAAUAAAUAAGGAAACCCUGAGGCCAUUUUUUCCCUAAGAGAGUCGGAGGGGUUAGCAGAAAAGGGCUGGGUUCACGGAGAAGGGAUGUAUGCUUCUGGAUUUAUCUAAUUGGAAAAAUAACUUUUAGGAUUAAAUAAUCACUUCUGGUGUCCAUAUCACAGAUGUGAAGGAGAACAUCAUAUCUGGGAGAUAUUAUUCUCACAAGUGCCAAAGGCAAUAGUAUUUCUAGACAUUGGGGCAUAGAGAUGAAUGGGAUGAACAUUCAAACUGUUCCUCAGAAGCCAUGCAAAGCAGAAAAUGGGAUUUCAUCUCCUCAAACCCGCUGCUUCAUGAUGUGCAACAGUGCAAGUAAUGUUCAUUGUUCCUCCUUCUCAGUAGGUGCUUCUGAUCAUGCUUUCAUGUAGAUGUGGUGAAAGGGCAACAUUGCUUUGCACAAUUAUUUUGUCAAAUGGAACAGAAUUGUUAGCACAAAGCCUUCCAAAGGUUUUGGAAUGUAUAUUGUCAGUAUAUAUCUGUCUGGGGAGAGAUGGGAAGAUGUGCAAUGCCACAGAAAGAAUAACCAUGAAAACAAAGUGUACAGUUAACCAAUGUAACUUUCAAAUAGAUUUAUAUUUUUAUAAACAGAUUGUGUUUGGGUAUCUGAGUCAAUUAUCCUAAAUGUAGACCAAACAGUGGCAUAUUCUACUAUCAUACUUGAUACUCCAGUAGAACAAAGGUUUUGGCAGCAGAUAGCUCAUACUCUAUCCAUCUUUGAAUGUGGUAACACACCCAGAGCAUGUUAUUUGUCAGCAUAACGACAAUUCCUCUAUUCCCUGACUGCCUAGAGGAAAAGAUUUAAAUAUAACAUUGUUUCUGGUGAAGGGGAAGUUAUCUUAAAAGCUUGAAACUUAAGCCUGUCAUUAGUUUCACAAUAUCUGGGAGAUCUGGUACAGUAUGUUCCUGUAAAAGCCCUGCUUAAAUCUGUGGCCAGUUUCUCCCAAACUGUGAUGAGAACAUGGCAUGCGCGUAAAUCAUUUUCUUUAGAUGCUACAGUAAGAUGUUAAUGGAAUGAGGCAACCUGACAACUGACCAUUUUGAGAAAAAAUAUUUAAAGUGACUUUAAAACACAUGAAGUUAGCUGGACUCUGCAGAGUCUCAGGACUUCAUUCCCACAUUAGCAGGACAGUACUGGAGACCAGGUGGUUAGAGGAGGACACGAUGAAAUGUAGAGAGGAAACAGACUGCUACAGUCUGCUUUCCUCCUUUCUAAAAUAUUUUAAGGGCUAUUGGUAAUAGAAGUCCAGAAACUUCAGAAUGAAGUAUGUUUAUAAAGCUGAAAGGCAAUGUGUAAUGAGUUACGUAGCCUUUUGUCCUUGGUGGAACAAUUUGAAAUCUGAAAUAGGCCAAAAGUAAAUUCAUUUUGUGGACUUAACCUUGUACUCAGUGGAUAUUUAAUCCUAUCACCAAACCACAGGAUAAUGUUAUAACUACCAAUUUUGAAACAGCCCUUUCGGGACAAUAUCUUUUUCUUGGCAGCUACUUUCUGCUAUGAUGGCACCAAAAGAGUUCAGGAGAAAAUUUUGUAAAAUAUUAUGCUUCUCCUACAUCAGGUGCAGUUGUAUACUGAUAACUUGACAAUAUUCCAACUAUAUUAGUAUGACAGAUAUCUGAAGACAUAUACAGGAAAUGUGAUUAGAUAUAUAAAUAGGAAAUGAAGACCAUCCUCUUAAGUCUACAGCUUGUUUUCAGUUUUAGGCAGUAGUUGUUUCAUUUGCUUUGUUGUUGUUAUCUUUUUUUCUUUUUUUGUUCCUCUGUUAUCUCUGCUGCUCUAUCUGCCCUGCUACUAAGGCUUAGCAGCAGCCAGUGAAUAGUACUUCUAUGCAAAUAGCAUUACACAGGAGUCCAAUAUGAAGACUGCAUGCCAAGUGGAAGAAGGACUUGAAGUGAAGGAUAGUAUCUAGCCAUUAAACUUAAAAUUUAUGAUCAAAUAUGAUCAAAUCCAGAACACUGAGAUCUGGGGUUACUCCAAGAAUGAACUUGUCUCUUUUCCUUAACUUCUGUUGUUCUUAUUCAUAAAAAAAAUGUAAACCAUGUGCUUUGAGCUGAAUUAACUGUAACUGAAAUUCUUGGCAGUUGUAAAGACAAAUAGAGUCAUAGCCAGCACUUUAUUCCAGCAAAGCAUUUCAUAUGAACUUCCUCGGGUUUUUUUACAUUUAUGUGCUUUCCUUUUUAUUUUCACAAUAAAGAUUGUCGGAAAAAACAA